AUGUGCUGCAUCGAUGACGUCGUCCCCACAGUGACUGUAUGUACAUAUUCCAACCAAAAGUCAUGGAUAACAAGCAACAUCCGCACUGAGCUAAUGGGUAGAGCUGCUGCUUUCAAGGAGCGGGACUCUAACCCGGAAGCUUGUAAGAAAUCCCACUAUGCCCUCCGACGAACCAUCAAACAGGCAAAGUGUCAGAACAGGACUAAGAUCGAAUCGUACUUCACCGGCUCCGAUGCUCGUCGGAUGUGGCAGGGCUUGCAAACUAUUACAGACUACAAAGGGAAGCACAGCCGAGCGCUGCCCAGUGACACGAGCCUACCAGACGAGCUGUAUUACUUCUAUGCUCACUUCAAGGCAAGUAAAACUGAAACAUGCAUGAGAGCAUCAGCUGUUCUGGACGACUGUGUGAUCACGCUCUCCACAGCCGAUGCGAGUGAGACCUUUAAACAGGUCAACAUUCACAAGGCCACAGGGCCAGACAGAUUACCAGGAUGUGUACUCCGAGCAUGCGCUGACCAACUGGCAAGUGUCUUCACUGACAUUUUUAACCUCUCCCUUUCUGAGUCUGUAAUACCAACAUGUUUCAAGCAGACCACCAUAGUCCCUGUGCCCAAGAACACUAAGGUAACCUGCCUAAAUGACUACCGACCCAUAACACUCACGUCUGUAGCCAUAAAGUGCUUUGAAAGGUUGGUCAUGGCUCACAACACCAUUAUCCCAGAAACCGUAGACCCACUCCAAUUUGCAUACAGCCCCAACAUAUCCACAGAUGAUGCAAUCUCUAUUGCACUCCACACUGCCCUUUCACACCUGGACAAAAGGAACACCUAUGUGAGAAUGCUAUUCAUUGACUACAGCUCAGCGUUCAACACCAUAGUGCCCUCAAAGCUCAUUACUAAGCUAAGGACCCUGGGACUAAACACCUCCAUCUGCAACUGGAUCUUGGACUUCCUGACGGGCCGCCCCCAGGUGGUAAGGGUAGGUAACAACACAUCCGCCACGAUGAUCCUCAAUACAGGGGCCCCUCAGGGAUAA
This 1035-nucleotide long non-coding RNA is filed under the name Oncorhynchus mykiss (rainbow trout). RNAcentral's name for it is "lncRNA (ENSOMYG00000049042.1)". Lineage: Eukaryota; Metazoa; Chordata; Actinopteri; Salmoniformes; Salmonidae. The record is from RNAcentral.